Molecule: long non-coding RNA, 676 nt
Filed under: Numida meleagris (helmeted guineafowl)
Lineage: Eukaryota; Metazoa; Chordata; Aves; Galliformes; Numididae
Description: lncRNA (ENSNMEG00000011870.1)
Source: RNAcentral
CUAUGGCAACCGGAAUACUUGCAUGGAACUUGGUGUUUUGAAAAUAUAAAAAGGCUGUGCUUCAAUAUCAUAUUUUCCACCAAGACCAGGAAUGAAAAUUGCUGAAAACAGCUAUCCAUCUUGAAAGGAAGAAAACAUUAUCACCAAGCAUUUUAAAGGAAAAUUCAGAUGGGUUUUCAUAAUGGCUUUGCCAUUCUGUGUCCCAGAUGUUCCUCAGCUUGGGCAGAGGGCCAUUCCAUGAAGGCCCACCUAGGACACCUUUUGGUAACAGCAUCCUCUUAGUAGGGUCUUCCCAGAGGACAGCUUUGCGUGCACAGAGAAGAGAAGAAAAUGCAGAAUACAUCAUGAGUGCUCUUGCACAAGAAGAAGCCUGCCAAAAAUCUAUGGUUCUGGGAAUUCCUGAGCUGAGAGAUGCUUCUGGGUGACCGUGUUUAAUAGCCACUGGAGAACCCAGCUAAAGCUUCUACAUCACCUUAGCAAGAAGUUCCACUGUACAAUAGUGUACACUUUUUACCAAGAUUCAAAGAUUUCUUACUGCUGUCAUUUUAUGUAGGUCACUCAAAAGGUAACACUUCCUAUUUAUUUCCAAAGAAACUACAACAGAUACAAAGAGCGCAGUAGCACUACUUGAUAGAGAAAAUUCUGAGCUACAAAACACUAUUUUUCAACAUAGUUG